This 363-nucleotide ribosomal RNA is filed under the name Enterococcus hirae. Its description in RNAcentral is "partial 16S ribosomal RNA". It matches the Rfam family "Bacterial small subunit ribosomal RNA", at positions 246 to 601 of the family's 1533-position model. Lineage: Bacteria; Bacillati; Bacillota; Bacilli; Lactobacillales; Enterococcaceae. The record is from RNAcentral.
UAGUUGGUGAGGUAACGGCUCACCAAGGCGACGAUGCAUAGCCGACCUGAGAGGGUGAUCGGCCACAUUGGGACUGAGACACGGCCCAAACUCCUACGGGAGGCAGCAGUAGGGAAUCUUCGGCAAUGGACGAAAGUCUGACCGAGCAACGCCGCGUGAGUGAAGAAGGUUUUCGGAUCGUAAAACUCUGUUGUUAGAGAAGAACAAGGAUGAGAGUAACUGUUCAUCCCUUGACGGUAUCUAACCAGAAAGCCACGGCUAACUACGUGCCAGCAGCCGCGGUAAUACGUAGGUGGCAAGCGUUGUCCGGAUUUAUUGGGCGUAAAGCGAGCGCAGGCGGUUUCUUAAGUCUGAUGUGAAAGC